Molecule: ribosomal RNA, 492 nt
Filed under: uncultured bacterium
Lineage: Bacteria
Description: bacterial SSU rRNA
Rfam family: Bacterial small subunit ribosomal RNA
Source: RNAcentral
CAGUGAGGAAUAUUGGGCAAUGGAGGCAACUCUGACCCAGCCAUGCCGCGUGCAGGAAGACUGCCCUAUGGGUUGUAAACUGCUUUUAUACGGGAAGAAACCCAACUACGUGUAGUUGGCUGACGGUACCGUAAGAAUAAGCACCGGCUAACUCCGUGCCAGCAGCCGCGGUAAUACGGAGGGUGCAAGCGUUAUCCGGAAUCAUUGGGUUUAAAGGGUCCGUAGGCGGAUUGAUAAGUCAGAGGUGAAAUCCCACAGCUUAACUGUGGCACUGCCUUUGAUACUGUUAGUCUUGAGUUAUAUGGAAGUAGAUAGACUGUGUAGUGUAGCGGUGAAAUGCUUAGAGAUUACACAGAAUACCGAUUGCGAAGGCAGUCUACUACGUAUAUACUGACGCUAAUGGACGAAAGCGUGGGGAGCGAACAGGAUUAGCUACCCUGGUACUCCACGCCGUAAACGAGGCACUAGUGUGGACUCUUUCAGUGACUCAGC